GAUGAACGCUGGCUACAGGCUUAACACAUGCAAGUCGAGGGGAAACGGCAUUGAGUGCUUGCACUGAAUGGACGUCGACCGGCGCACGGGUGAGUAACGCGUAUCCAACCUUCCCGUUACUGCGGGAUAACCUGCCGAAAGGCAGACUAAUACCGCAUGUUCUUCGAUGACGGCAUCAGAUUCGAAGCAAAGAUUCUUCGGUAACGGAGGGGGAUGCGUCUGAUUAGCUAGUUGGCGGGGCGACGGCCCACCAAGGCGACGAUCAGUAGGGGUUCUGAGAGGAAGGUCCCCCACAUUGGAACUGAGACACGGUCCAAACUCCUACGGGAGGCAGCAGUGAGGAAUAUUGGUCAAUGGGCGGAAGCCUGAACCAGCCAAGUAGCGUGCAGGAUGACGGCCCUACGGGUUGUAAACUGCUUUUAUGCGGGGAUAAGGUGAGGGACGCGUCCCUUUUUGCAGGUACCGC
Molecule: ribosomal RNA, 466 nt
Filed under: Prevotella sp. oral taxon G57
Lineage: Bacteria; Pseudomonadati; Bacteroidota; Bacteroidia; Bacteroidales; Prevotellaceae
Description: bacterial SSU rRNA
Rfam family: Bacterial small subunit ribosomal RNA
Source: RNAcentral